GGACAGUGGCAUUGUCCAGGUAAGCACUGAUACACCUGCUCAGGGACAGUGGCAUUGUCCAGGUAAGCACUGAUACACCUGCUCAGGGACAGUGGCAUUGUCCAGGUAAGCACUGAUACACCUGCUCAGGGACAGUGGCAUUGUCCAGGUAAGCACUGAUACACCUGCUCAGGGACAGUGGCAUUGUCCAGGUAAGCACUGAUACACCUGCUCAGGGACAGUGGCAUUGUCCAGGUAAGCACUGAUACACCUGCUCAGGGACAGUGGCAUUGUCCAGGUAAGCACUGAUACACAUGGCAGCCCAUUCUGUGGACAUGGUUGCUGUCCAGCUGGUAGAAGCUGACUGUGGGGCUCACAGCUGGUGCAGCCCCUCGUGC
This is a long non-coding RNA of Acomys russatus (golden spiny mouse), 377 nucleotides long. RefSeq lists it as uncharacterized. The transcript is spliced from 4 exons. The record is from RefSeq and is a predicted model, not a curated record. Lineage: Eukaryota; Metazoa; Chordata; Mammalia; Rodentia; Muridae.